Long non-coding RNA from Vitis vinifera (wine grape), 1119 nucleotides. RefSeq lists it as uncharacterized. Lineage: Eukaryota; Viridiplantae; Streptophyta; Magnoliopsida; Vitales; Vitaceae. The transcript is spliced from 2 exons. The record is from RefSeq and is a predicted model, not a curated record.
UUUUUUUUUGUCUUCGUUGAAUGUUCAACCUAGGGUUUUGAUUUUGUCUGUUCCAGUUAUUGCUUCGAUCUCCUGGAUCUCAGUUCCGAAUUUACCUAGGGUUUGAUCGUUUGAUUGUUGGAUUGUUUGGUUGAUCAUGGAGGCGAUCGACGAGCUCGUGCAAUUGUCAGGGUCUAUGCGCCAGGUCACGGCGCUGCUGGCAGAUGAAGAUGCGGACAAGAAUUUGAGUUCCAGUUCUUCUCGCAGGGGUUCGACUUUUCUUAACGUUGUUGCUCUUGGAAAUGUCGGACAUCCUGUUUAAUAGGACAUCCUGUUUAAUGAACCCCAUCUACAAACGAUGGCCAAUGAUGAGCAUCUUCGCAAGGCCUUCUCCUACUUUGAUAGGAAUGGUAAUGGCUAUAUUGAGCGAGAUGAGCUUCGGGAUGCCUUGAUGGAAGAUGGAGCAGAUGAUUGUACAGAUGUAGCAAAUGACAUCUUCCAAGAAGUGGACACGGACAAAGUAAAGAUCCAGUAGUUUGCCAUCAACUCGAUUUUCAUCCAACAGAUUAUAAAUGACUUUUUUUUUGUCUUACAAUGCAGAAUGGGUGAAUUAGUUAUGAUGAAUUUGUGGCUAUGAUGAAAACUGGAACAGAUUGGAGAAAGGCUUCUAGGCAUUAUUCAAGAGGGAGAUUCAACAGUCUAAGCAUUAAGCUGAUAAAGGAUGGUUCUCUAAACUUGGGGAAUGAGUAACAUAUACACAAGGUUGGUCUUUUGUUCAUCCACACAAGAAAAGUACUGGAUCAUUCCCAAUUUAUCUUGGACUUGCUUUCUUUUGUGAUAAUUUGUUGGGGGGCUAUUGGUUGAAUGGGGUCCCUUCUGAUUACUGGCUUACAAGGGAUCAUGGAGGGGUAUUCAAGAAAUAUAGCAAAAAAGAAGAAGAUGAUGAAGAAUUAAUGACCACCUCUUACGAAGAUAGUAUUGUACUUUUCAAUUUAAGUUUGUAUAUUAUCUUAAUUGAAUAUUUGUAAUUAGUUUUUUUUUUUUUUUUGUAUAUAGAAAAUAGAGAGUAAGUAGAAAAAGAUUUAUUCCAUUGUGUUUUUAAUAUUCAAAUGUAUCUAUAAUAAUUUUUCCCUUGAGUAA